GGCAGCCUGAUGCAGCCAUGCCGCGUGUAUGAAGAAGGCCUUCGGGUUGUAAAGUACUUUCAGCGAGGAGGAAGGCGUUGUGGUUAAUAACUGCAGCGAUUGACGUUACUCGCAGAAGAAGCACCGGCUAACUCCGUGCCAGCAGCCGCGGUAAUU
This 156-nucleotide ribosomal RNA is filed under the name uncultured Citrobacter sp. RNAcentral's name for it is "partial 16S ribosomal RNA". It matches the Rfam family "Bacterial small subunit ribosomal RNA", at positions 377 to 525 of the family's 1533-position model. Lineage: Bacteria; Pseudomonadati; Pseudomonadota; Gammaproteobacteria; Enterobacterales; Enterobacteriaceae. The record is from RNAcentral.